GGUUCAUUCACAUUUCUGCCCUAUCAACUUUCGCUGGUCGGCAUAGUGGCUACCAUGGUUUCAACGGGUAACGGGGAAUUAGGGUUCUAUUCCGGAGAGGGAGCUGAGAAACGGCUACCACAUCCAAGGAAGGCAGCAGGCGCGCAAAUUACCCAAUCCCGACCGGGGAGGUAGUGACAAUAAAUACUGAUACAGGGUUCUUUUGGAUCUUGUAAUUGGAAUGAGUACAAUUUAAAUCCCUUAACGAGGAACAAUUGGAGGGCAAGUCUGGUGCCAGCAGCCGCGGUAAUUCCAGAUCCAAUAGCGUAUAUUAAAGUUGUUGCAGUCAAAAAGCUCGUAGUAG
This 343-nucleotide ribosomal RNA is filed under the name uncultured fungus. RNAcentral describes it as "SSU rRNA". It matches the Rfam family "Eukaryotic small subunit ribosomal RNA", at positions 292 to 636 of the family's 1831-position model. The record is from RNAcentral. Lineage: Eukaryota; Fungi.